Apus apus (common swift) is the source of this 253-nucleotide long non-coding RNA. RefSeq lists it as uncharacterized. The record is from RefSeq and is a predicted model, not a curated record. The transcript has 3 exons. Lineage: Eukaryota; Metazoa; Chordata; Aves; Apodiformes; Apodidae.
CCUCUUCUCAAGACCUUGGAACAAGACCCUGGUGAGGUCGAGGAGAUGAGGAGAGAGAGUUUUCCAUCUCCUGGACAAGUGGGUUUUCCUGGUUUUCCCUUUGCUCCUGGUCCAAGUCCAACUCACGAAGACUUUGGGAAAGUAACAGAGCCAAAGAAGAGGAGAAUGUCUCAGGUCAGGCGGGUGUGCAGCCACCUCCAGGACAGGCAGGCUCCAUCAGGCGUGAAGGUGACCUGGGAAGACAGUGCUCAGC